RNAcentral lists this ribosomal RNA (461 nucleotides) under uncultured bacterium. Its description in RNAcentral is "partial 16S ribosomal RNA". It matches the Rfam family "Bacterial small subunit ribosomal RNA", at positions 338 to 795 of the family's 1533-position model. The record is from RNAcentral.
CCUACGGGAGGCAGCAGUGAGGAAUAUUGGUCAAUGGACGAACGUCUGAACCAGCCAAGUAGCGUGAAGGAUGACUGCCCUAUGGGUUGUAAACUUCUUUUAUAUGGGAAUAAAACUGUCCACGUGUGGGCGUUUGUAUGUUACAUAUGAAUCAGGCUCGGCUAAACCCGUGCCAGCAGCCGCGGUAAUUCGGAGGAUCCGAGCGUUAUCCGGAUUUAUUGGGUUUAAAGGGAGCGUAGGUGGAUGGUUCAGUCCGUUGUGAAAGUUUGCGGCGCAACCGUAAACUGGCAGUUGAAACUGGCAGUCUUGAGUACAGUAGAGGUGAGCGGAAUUGGGGGUGUAGCGGUGAAAUGCUUAGAUAUCACGAAGAACUCCGAUUGCGAAGGCAGCUCACUGGACUGCAAAUGACACUGAUGCUCGAAAGUGUGGGUAUCAAACAGGAUUAGAUACCCCUAGUAGUC